AUGACCUGUGGCUGGGGGUGAAAGGCCAAUCAAACCGGGAGAUAGCUGGUUCUCCCCGAAAGCUAUUUAGGUAGCGCCUCGUGAAUUCAUCUCCGGGGGUAGAGCACUGUUUCGGCUAGGGGGCCAUCCCGGCUUACCAACCCGAUGCAAACUGCGAAUACCGGAGAAUGUUAUCACGGGAGACACACGGCGGGUGCUAACGUCCGUCGUGAAGAGGGAAACAACCCAGACCGCCAGCUAAGGUCCCAAAGUCAUGGUUAAGUGGGAAACGAUGUGGGAAGGCCCAGACAGCCAGGAUGUUGGCUUAGAAGCAGCCAUCAUUUAAAGAAAGCGUAAUAGCUCACUGGUCGAGUCGGCCUGCGCGGAAGAUGUAACGGGGCUAAACCAU
This 388-nucleotide ribosomal RNA is filed under the name Salmonella enterica subsp. enterica serovar Infantis. RNAcentral's name for it is "partial 23S ribosomal RNA". It matches the Rfam family "Bacterial large subunit ribosomal RNA", at positions 804 to 1190 of the family's 2925-position model. Lineage: Bacteria; Pseudomonadati; Pseudomonadota; Gammaproteobacteria; Enterobacterales; Enterobacteriaceae. The record is from RNAcentral. RNAcentral also lists the same sequence under 3 other names.